This 446-nucleotide ribosomal RNA is filed under the name uncultured bacterium. RNAcentral describes it as "bacterial SSU rRNA". It matches the Rfam family "Bacterial small subunit ribosomal RNA", at positions 329 to 792 of the family's 1533-position model. The record is from RNAcentral.
UUCCAGACUCCUACGGGAGGCAGCAGUGGGGAAUAUUGCACAAUGGGGGGAACCCUGAUGCAGCGACGCCGCGUGGGUGAAGGAGUACUUCGGUACGUAAAGCCCUAUCAGCAGGAAAGAAAAUGACGGUACCUGACUAAGAAGCCCCGGCUAACUACGUGCCAGCAGCCGCGGCAAUACGUAGGGGGCAAGCGUUAUCCGGAUUCACUGGGUGUAAAGGGAGCGUAGACGGCUGUGCAAGCCAGAUGUGAAAGCCCGGGGCUCAACCCCGGGACUGCAUUUGGAACUGCGUGGCUUGAGUGUCGGAGAGGCAGGCGGAAUUCCUAGUGUAGCGGUGAAAUGCGUAGAUAUUAGGAGGAACACCAGUGGCGAAGGCGGCCUGCUGGACGAUGACUGACGUUGAGGCUCGAAAGCGUGGGGAGCAAACAGGAUUAGAUACCCUCGUA